This 253-nucleotide ribosomal RNA is filed under the name uncultured bacterium. Its description in RNAcentral is "partial 16S ribosomal RNA". It matches the Rfam family "Bacterial small subunit ribosomal RNA", at positions 524 to 776 of the family's 1533-position model. The record is from RNAcentral.
UACGUAGGGUGCGAGCAUUGUCCGGAAUUAUUGGGCGUAAAGAGCUUGUAGGCGGUUUGUCGCGUCUGCCGUGAAAAUCCGGGGCUCAACCCCGGACUUGCGGUGGGUACGGGCAGACUAGAGUGUGGUAGGGGAGACUGGAAUUCCUGGUGUAGCGGUGAAAUGCGCAGAUAUCAGGAGGAACACCGAUGGCGAAGGCAGGUCUCUGGGCCACUACUGACGCUGAGAAGCGAAAGCGUGGGGAGCGAACAGG